GAAGGAACGUUGAAGACGACGACGUUGAUAGGUCGGGUGUGUAAGCGUAGCGAUACGUUGAGCUAACCGAUACUAAUGAACCGUGAGGCUUAACCUUACAACGCCGAAGGUGUUU
RNAcentral lists this ribosomal RNA (115 nucleotides) under Citrobacter braakii. Its description in RNAcentral is "partial 23S ribosomal RNA". The stretch from base 1 to 97 matches the Rfam family "Bacterial large subunit ribosomal RNA", at positions 2828 to 2925 of the family's 2925-position model. Lineage: Bacteria; Pseudomonadati; Pseudomonadota; Gammaproteobacteria; Enterobacterales; Enterobacteriaceae. The record is from RNAcentral.